CGGGUAGCGGAACACGUACGCAACCUUCCUUUAACUGGAGGAUAGCCCCUCGAAAGAGGGAUUAAUACUCCGUAACAUACUGAAGUGGCAUCACUUUAUUAUUAUAGCUCCGGCGGUUAAAGAUGGGCGUGCGCCUGAUUAGAUAGUUGGCGGGGUAACGGCCCACCAAGUCUGCGAUCAGUAACUGGUGUGAGAGCACGACCAGUCACACGGGCACUGAGACACGGGCCCG
Molecule: ribosomal RNA, 232 nt
Filed under: uncultured bacterium
Lineage: Bacteria
Description: partial 16S ribosomal RNA
Rfam family: Bacterial small subunit ribosomal RNA
Source: RNAcentral